AAGUAAUUUAAAUGAACUUUACCAAAAAUCCCUGCAAGAGCAAGAUCCAUCCAUAAAAUAAUGAAAUCUAUUAGUAUCUCUCACAACAAAAUCUCUCUCUACAAUCUCACUGAUCAGCUUGAAAGCCUCAUGGCAGUCCUUGCACAUUCUCAAGUUCUUCAUCACUCUAAUUGUGAUUCCUUUAGGUAUGGUUAUCAACCCAAAGGCCAAAGCCAAUCUCUCACUGUGCAGACCCACUAUUUCCUCCUUCACCUCUUGUUCCACGUCAACAAACACCAAUCCCGUGCUUCCCCCCACAUAACCCCUUUCCUUCAUUCUCCUCUCCAUCUCCUUGAGCAAACAAAGGACUUCGUUCCCACUUUCAAAUGAUACAUCGCCAGCAUAGAACACAUAAGUUGAAUCCCUAAUCUCAACCCAGCUGCACCCAGGUUCCUUGUGAACUCCAAUUCGCUUCAUUUCAGACCGAAGACUAUGAGCAUUCUCCCAUUCCCCCGCCAAUGCAUAAGUGUUUGAUAAUGUGACAUAUGCGCCUGCUACUUGCUGAUUAGAUUCAAUUAGCCACUUACUGGCUUCAACAGCUAUAUCUAAUCGUCCUUGAAGCCUACUAGCUGACAGAAGCGUACCCCACAAGAGAGCCCCUUCAUCAGGGUUCACCCUAAUAGAUUUUGCUAACUGGUAAGCCUCAUCUAUACGGCCUACUCGACUGAGCAUGUCAACAACACAAGUAUAGUGUUUAGUAUCAGGCAUUAGUCCGUGUUUCUCGUGCAUGGAAUUCAGGUGUUCUAGCCCGUCAUCAACAAGUCCCGAGUGGCUACAUGCAUGCAAAACCCCGAGAAAAGUGACAUCAGUUGGUUUUAUUCUUCUAUCAAUCAUCUCUUGAAAGAGCUGUAGGGAGAGCUUUCCAAGUCCAUACUUUGCUGCACCCACAAUCAUUGAUGUAUAUGAAAUGACAGAAGGAUCUUGAAUUCUCCUAAAAACCUUGUCCGAGUAACUAAAACUUCCACAUUUAGCGUACAUGUCCACAAGUGCGCUUGCAACCACAUCGUUUAAUUCAUGACCUCUACGAAUCACUGCCCCAUGUGUAAUUUUCCCUGAAACUAGCUUCCCCAAGCUUGCACAAGCA
RNAcentral lists this unclassified non-coding RNA (1123 nucleotides) under Hevea brasiliensis (rubber tree). Lineage: Eukaryota; Viridiplantae; Streptophyta; Magnoliopsida; Malpighiales; Euphorbiaceae. The record is from RNAcentral.